This 30-nucleotide ribosomal RNA is filed under the name Diopsittaca nobilis. RNAcentral's name for it is "partial 12S ribosomal RNA". The record is from RNAcentral. Lineage: Eukaryota; Metazoa; Chordata; Aves; Psittaciformes; Psittacidae.
CCCAAGAACAAAAGACUUAGUCCUAACCUU